GGACUACUGGGGUAUCUAAUCCUGUUUGCUCCCCACGCUUUCGCGCCUCAGCGUCAGUUACGGUCCAGAGAGCCGCCUUCGCCACCGGUGUUCUUCCCAAUAUCUACGAAUUUCACCUCUACACUGGGAAUUCCACUCUCCUCUCCCGUACUCCAGCCUCAGAGUAUCAAAUGCCAUUCCCAGGUUGAGCCCGGGGCUUUCACAUCUGACUUCUAAGGCCGCCUGCGCGCCCUUUACGCCCAGUAAUUCCGAACAACGCUCGCCCCCUUCGUAUUACCGCGGCUGCUGGCAC
Molecule: ribosomal RNA, 292 nt
Filed under: uncultured bacterium
Lineage: Bacteria
Description: partial 16S ribosomal RNA
Source: RNAcentral